AGUGAAGCGGCAAUAGCUCAAAUUUGAAAUCUGGCCUCGGCCCGAGUUGUAAUUUGCAGAGGAUGUUUCUGGCGCGGUGCCUUCCGAGUUCCCUGGAACGGGACGCCACAGAGGGUGAGAGCCCCGUAUGGUUGGACACUAAGCCUGUGUGAAACUCCUUCGACGAGUCGAGUAGUUUGGGAAUGCUGCUCAAAAUGGGAGGUAAAUCUCUUCUAAAGCUAAAUACCGGCCAGAGACCGAUAGCGCACAAGUAGAGUGAUCGAAAGAUGAAAAGCACCUUGAAAAGGGGGUUAAACAGUACGUGAAAUUGUUGAAAGGGAAGCGCUUGUGACCAGACUUGCGCCGGGCGGCUCAUCCGGGGUUCUCCCCGGUGCACUCCGCCCGGCUCAGGCCAGCAUCGGUUCUCGUUGGGGGAUAAGAACGGCAGGAACGUGGCCCUCCUUCGGGUGGGUGUUAUAGCCUGCCGUACGAUACCCUGACGGGGACCGAGGUUCGCGCUCCGCAAGGAUGCUGGCGUAAUGGUCAUCAGCGACCCGUCUUGAAACACGGACCAAGGAGUCGUCCAUUAGAGCGAGCGUUUGGGUGUCAAACCCGCACGCGUAAUGAAAGUGAAAUUAGGUGAGAGCUUCGGCGCAUCAUCGACCGAUCCUGAUGUUCUCGGAUGGAUUUGAGUAAGAGUUUUAACGGACGGACCCGAAAGACAGUGAACUAUGCUUGUAUAGGGUGAAGCCAGAGGAAACUCUGGUGGAGGCUCGCAGCGGUUCUGACGUGCAAAUUGAUCGU
Molecule: ribosomal RNA, 783 nt
Filed under: Chrysoporthe austroafricana
Lineage: Eukaryota; Fungi; Ascomycota; Sordariomycetes; Diaporthales; Cryphonectriaceae
Description: partial large subunit ribosomal RNA
Rfam family: Eukaryotic large subunit ribosomal RNA
Source: RNAcentral